GAUGAAGAACGCAGCGAAAUGCGAUAAGUAGUGUGAAUUGCAGAAUUCAGUGAAUCAUCGAAUCUUUGAACGCACAUUGCGCCCGCCAGUAUUCUGGCGGGCAUGCCUGUUCGAGCGUCAUUUCAACCCUCAGGGCCCUUUUGGACCUGGCGUUGGGGCUCGGCCGCUACCCUGCGGCCGUCCCCGAAAGAUAGUGGCGGUCUCGCUGUAGCCUCCUCUGCGUAGUAGUUACAUCUCGCACUGGAACGCGGCGCGGCCAUGCCGUUAAACACCCCACUUCUCAAGGUUGACCUCGGAUCAGGUAGGAAUACCCGCUGAACUUAAGCAUAUCAAUAAGCGGAGGA
This 344-nucleotide unclassified non-coding RNA is filed under the name soil metagenome. Its description in RNAcentral is "partial contains 5.8S ribosomal RNA, internal transcribed spacer 2, and large subunit ribosomal RNA". The stretch from base 1 to 120 matches the Rfam family "5.8S ribosomal RNA", at positions 35 to 154 of the family's 154-position model. The record is from RNAcentral.